RNAcentral lists this long non-coding RNA (360 nucleotides) under Volvox carteri. RNAcentral's name for it is "long non-coding RNA (VCAR_LNC000430)". Lineage: Eukaryota; Viridiplantae; Chlorophyta; Chlorophyceae; Chlamydomonadales; Volvocaceae. The record is from RNAcentral.
GCCGAGUUCUUUUUGAAUAAGGCCCACAGUGUUGUGCGGGAGGCGUUCCUAUGGGCGCUGCACUCGACCCGUUCGGGGUCCACUGUAACAAUCGCAUCUCAAGGGCUGCCAAUUCGCCUAUAAGCACCAUCCUACCUCGCACUUCCAACGAAACAAGUAAUGAAGGAUACUAACGACCAAAGGGAACGAUAGAAUUGCGGUGGGACCAUAUGAGUUCCAGCAUCCUUGCCAGGCGUUCAGGUUCCCACUUCAUAGCGUCCUUCAUAUGCUCGAAGCGUGGGAAACCCAUAUCAGAUCUGAUUUUGUUGUACACCGAACAGUCCAUCAAAAUGUGCUGCUCGUCCUCGAUAUGGCUAUCGG